AGUGGCCAAGAGAGGAAAAAUUCUAGAAUGCAACGGAUAUAUUAGUGACGUGGCGUAACAAACCAAUCAAAUUAAUCCUUUUAAGAAUAUAUGUCCCAUCAUAAUUGUAAAAAAGUAUUUUUAUUGUACUUUUGUUUGAAAAGAAGGAAUGUGAUUGGCUUGUUAUUGAUGACGUGGUGCAAGUGUGACAGUGUAGAAUUCCUCCCAA
Molecule: long non-coding RNA, 208 nt
Filed under: Ananas comosus (pineapple)
Lineage: Eukaryota; Viridiplantae; Streptophyta; Magnoliopsida; Poales; Bromeliaceae
Description: long non-coding RNA (ACOM_LNC019115)
Source: RNAcentral